GAUGAACGCUGGCGGCGUGCCUAAUACAUGCAAGUCGAGCGAACAGACGAGGAGCUUGCUCCUCUGACGUUAGCGGCGGACGGGUGAGUAACACGUGGAUAACCUACCUAUAAGACUGGGAUAACUUCGGGAAACCGGAGCUAAUACCGGAUAAUAUAUUGAACCGCAUGGUUCAAUAGUGAAAGACGGUUUUGCUGUCACUUAUAGAUGGAUCCGCGCCGCAUUAGCUAGUUGGUAAGGUAACGGCUUACCAAGGCAACGAUGCGUAGCCGACCUGAGAGGGUGAUCGGCCACACUGGAACUGAGACACGGUCCAGACUCCUACGGGAGGCGGCAGUAGGGAAUCUUCCGAAAUGGGCGAAGGCCUGCCGGAGCAACGCCGCGUGAGUGAUGAAGGUCUUCGGAUCGUAAAACUCUGUUAUUAGGAAAGAACAAAUGUGUAAGUAACUAUGCACGUCUUGACGGUACCUAAUCAGAAAGCCACGGCUAACUACGUG
RNAcentral lists this ribosomal RNA (497 nucleotides) under uncultured bacterium. Its description in RNAcentral is "partial 16S ribosomal RNA". It matches the Rfam family "Bacterial small subunit ribosomal RNA", at positions 28 to 507 of the family's 1533-position model. The record is from RNAcentral.